GAGAACUAAGUCCCAAGCCCUUAAAAUUGUCUCUGAGACCAACCCCUACCCCCAAAGACCCAUCUCAAAACUCACCCCUCCCCCAUCUCUCUCCACCACAUACCGCUGCUGGAAAUUGCCCACGGCAGCGGCCCGUCUCCAAUCACAUUCAUUAAAAGGGCAGAAGAGAAAUCUGGGCAUUAUGGGAGAAAAUUGAUACACUCCUUCAUUUUUCCAUUCUUAGACUCUAAGCUUUGAGGAUUAGCUAAAAUCUGAAGUCUUCUCUUGCAUUAUCUUUCGGCAUUGUCCUUUAUUUGAUCAUUAUUGGCUUUUGCUUUUGUUAGGUACGUCAAAAAUCCAGUUGUAGUUCCCUUUUUAUGUAGAAAUAAUAAAGAUGCCUGAUUAUGUCUGCUUUCUGCCUUGUUUCAUUUAAUCUGGACAUUUCUUUCUUUGCUAAAUAUUCGAUUCUCGCUCCUGUUUCUUGAAUUCAAUGUUUAAGUCUAUUUGUUGAUUAGCUAUUUGAAAUGAAUAUUUUCAUACUCGGAGAUUCUAUAACUCUAUUUGAUUGCUGGAGUUAGUAUCCUCAUGAGAAUGAGGUAUAAAUCUUGUUUACUAUUGAUGCCUUUAACCUAUGAGGAUGGAGUUUAAGCAUGGAAUUCAAGAUGAAACCAGAUGCAUGAAGAGUCAUUAAGUCAAUUGUUUAAAUGUUGUUGUUUAUCUUAGUCUUAAGAGUAGAGAAAUUCAGUACAUAGAAACAUUCAGCAAUAUAAAUAGAUUUGAAUCUUGAUUU
RNAcentral lists this long non-coding RNA (769 nucleotides) under Nicotiana benthamiana. RNAcentral describes it as "long non-coding RNA (NBEN_LNC040063)". The record is from RNAcentral. Lineage: Eukaryota; Viridiplantae; Streptophyta; Magnoliopsida; Solanales; Solanaceae.